UCCAGACUCCUACGGGAGGCAGCAGUGAGGAAUAUUGGUCAAUGGGCGAGAGCCUGAACCAGCCAAGUCGCGUGAGGGAGUACUGCCCUAUGGGUUGUAAACCUCUUUUGUCGGGGAGCAAAAGCCGGACGUGUCCGGCUGUGAGAGUACCCGAAGAAAAAGCAUCGGCUAACUCCGUGCCAGCAGCCGCGGUAAUACGGAGGAUGCGAGCGUUAUCCGGAUUUAUUGGGUUUAAAGGGUGCGCAGGCGGAUUUUUAAGUCAGCGGUCAAAUCGUGGGGCUCAACCCCAUCCAGCCGUUGAAACUGGCAGUCUCGAGUUGGAGAGAAGUAUGCGGAAUGCGCGGUGUAGCGGUGAAAUGCUUAGAUAUCGCGCAGAACCCCGAUUGCGAAGGCAGCGUACCGGCUCCACACUGACGCUGAGGCACGAAAGCGUGGGUAUCGAACAGGAUUAGAUACCCUUGUAAU
This 465-nucleotide ribosomal RNA is filed under the name uncultured bacterium. RNAcentral describes it as "bacterial SSU rRNA". It matches the Rfam family "Bacterial small subunit ribosomal RNA", at positions 330 to 794 of the family's 1533-position model. The record is from RNAcentral.